CCGCCGUCGUCACUCCGCCCGCACCAGAGCCUCCCCGAGCCCGCUAAACCUCCCUACGGCGUCGAUGUGAGCACCCCUCGGCUUUCCCCUCUGUUUCCUCGUCGAAUUCGUGCCAUAGCACCGUUACCCGCGAGCUUCCACUCCGUAGUCCGUGUGCGCUCGCCUGCGUCCAUGUCGCACCCUGUCCCGCCCGUUGCCAUUCCUCACUGCCCGCUGUGGCCGUCCACACACGCACUCCCCUGCAGCCACCCACGUCCUCGUGCCGCCGCUGCUCUCUUCGUUGCUGCUGCUUGCGCCGUGCCCCGCGUCGAGUCAUGCUUGCAUCGUGUACUGCCGCCCCUUGUGCUGCCUGCUACCACUGUCGGCCGCCGCGCCUGCCACUCCCGCUCUCACUGCCCCUUGCUGCUGCUCGUCACCUGCUGCCUCCGGCGACCUCCUGCCACCGCUUUGCCGCAUCUCGCCCCACCGAGCCCGCUUCUAGCUGCCUUGCCUGUGUCGCUCACCUAGCUGCGCUGAAGGCCGCGCCUGGGCAAGCUUGGGUCACACCGAUGGCCGCUUCCCGUGUGUGUGUGCGUGGUUCCUCAAUGGCCGGCUGGCCAUUUCCUACUCGGGCCGGCCCCGCUUAAUUUGGGGGUGCUAACUCCCCCAUUAGCUUAACCCCCUCCAACUAAUUAGGGUAAUUAACUUAAUGUGUCAACAUCAGUUAGACUACUAACUCAAUAACAGAUGGGCCCCGAUGUUAAUUAAACAAAAUUACCUAACCUACUAGAGUGAGAGAUAAUGACAUGCGGGUCCCACUAGACCCCCCUUUGACUAGUCAAACUGACCAGUCAACUGCUGACUGGGCAGUUGACUGGCCCCGCUGUCAGCCACUAGCGCAACACUGGGUGCACUGCACCGGGUGCACCCAGCUUAUUUUUCCUUUUACUUAAUUCGAGUUUAAUUAUUAAAAUAAAUUCUAGAAAAUGGUUUAAUCUUUGAAAAUUCAUAUAAAUUAAACCGUAUCUCGGAUGAAAAUGUUUUCUACAUGAAAGUUGCUCAGAAAAAUCCAAAGAAUCUGAAUACGCGGUCCGUUCAUGUGUCACAUGCCCCUAGCAUGAUGAACAUGGAACAUUCCCUCUCCGGUCAUCUGUAUGACACAAGUCCAGAAUCGAGAAAUCAUUCCCGGUUGAAUUCCCCCUUCACCUUUAUCGUGUAGCCAUACAUUAGGUCACACCCGGCACAGCAUAUUGCCACAUUAUGCUUUGUGAUGCUAUGUUUGCUUUAUAUUUACUGUUUCUUCCCCCUCUUCUCUCCGGUAGACCCCGAGACCGAUGCUGCCCCUGUGAUCGGUUACGUCGACGACGACCCCUCCUUGCCAGAGCAACCAGGUAAGCCCCCCUUUGAUCAUCCUGAUAUCGCCCAUUCCAUUCUCUCAUGCUUGCAUUAGAUUUUGCUACUGUAAUUGAUUGCUCCUAUUCUAAUGCAUAGCCUGCUUUUGUAUCCGCUGUUGUACCUUACCUGCUUAUCGUAAACUGCUUAGUAUAGGUUGCUUAGUGAUCCAUCAGUGACCCCCACCUUGUCCUUGUUGCCCCUGCUUCAUCAUCAAAGACCUGAUCAACGGGAUCGAAGACCAGGCCCCGGCACCGCGCAUCACUUUCCCCUUAGUUGCUCGACACUACUGGGUUACUAUCGAGUGGGAGGGUGAGACCUCUUCAGCACUUCUGAUGUUAACCCUGUAGUGUAGCUAUUUGGUCAUGGUCAUCGAGGGUGAUUUCCUCCUUAACCACUUCUGAUAUGACUCUCUCGUGCAACCCCUCAAGUGUGAACCUCGGGGGUGAUUCCUCUUACAUUCACCUUGAUGAUUACAUCAAGUGGAAUUCACCGGGGGUGAUUCCUCGGGUUUUCCCCUUGAUGUUUGGACACACAGUUACUAUGGUUACUAUGACUUUACACUAAACCAUGUUACUAAAGACGGGUCAGCCCUGAGGGGUACCCGCGCGAGCUUAAUUGCGAGUGAUGUGGAGACGGGCUGACGUGGAGGGUGCCAGCGAUAUAAUUACGAGGCGCGGUCGGGCAUUCCUAGCCCUUGCCGCAAGUCCUCGAGACGGGGCAACGGGGUCACAUCUUUCAUGAGUCUCUGCUUGUUACCGCGCGUUCCUAAUCCACUACGAUUUGGAUAUUUGAUUUGAGGGGCCUCUGGCCUGAUAGCACUAACCAUCACGUGGGCAUAGUAUGGGCGUUCUGCAUCGUAUGCAUCAACCGAAGCUUAAUAGACGUCAGCGACUGAGCGGCGCGCGCCGGUUUGGACUACGUAAGCACCUGCCUUGUUGAAGGAGGUAGCUAGGUCUGCUCACCGGCCGCCCUCGCAACGUGCAGGAGUUUCCGGGGAGAUGGCCCAUGACCCCUGGGGGCAUAGGUUUAGUCCGGCGUGCUGGCCUCUCUAUUAAGCCUAGGUCGGGUUGCGGCGUAUUGUUUGGCCGAGGCCGGGCAUGACCCAGGAAAGUGUGUCCGGCCGGAGUUAAUCAAGCGUGGUGGGUAAGUUGGUGCACCCCUACAAGGAAGAAAACAUCUAUCGAUAGCUUGUCCUACGGUAAAGGACACUUCGAGUUGUAUCCCGAUCGGUACAACUAGAACUGGAUACCUGAGAUGAGAAAUGGAUAUGAGAAAUGGAGAUGAGAACUGGAUAGUAUGGCUUUGGGAUUGCUUUCUCGCAGGGAGUCGAGAAAGGAUCUCUCGCCGAGGUUGAUAACCCUACUACUACUUUACUUUAUGCUACUCUACUCCCUCCUGUUGCUGCAAGAUGGUGGUUUCCAGAAGAUGCUAGUCUUCGAUAGGCUAGGCUUUCCCCCUUCUCUUCUGGCAUUCUGCAGUUCAGUCCACAGAUACAACCCUUUUCUUUGAUACCGAUGCAUAUGUAGUGUAGAUCCUUGCUUGCGAGUACUUUGGAUGAGUACUCACGGUUGCUUUGCUCCCCCUUUUUCCUCCUUUAUUCUUUCUGGUUGAUGCAACCAGAUGUCGGAGCCCAGGAACCAGAUGCCACCGUUGAUGCCUACUACUACGUGAAGACCGCCAACGACCAGGAGUAGUUAGGAGACUCCCAGGCAGGAGGCCUUGCCUUUUCGAUCGUAAAUGCUUUGUGCUGGCCUUCUUAAGGCAUGCUUGUCUAACUUAUGUUUGUACUCAGAUAUUGUUGCUUCCGCUGACUCUUGUGUAUUCGAGCCCUCGAGGCCCCUGGCUUGUAAUAUAAAGCUUGUAUUAUUUUAAUUUGUGUCUAGA
RNAcentral lists this long non-coding RNA (3258 nucleotides) under Triticum aestivum (bread wheat). RNAcentral describes it as "long non-coding RNA (TAES_LNC015113)". The record is from RNAcentral. Lineage: Eukaryota; Viridiplantae; Streptophyta; Magnoliopsida; Poales; Poaceae.